UGCCUUGCAUGUCUUAGUAUAGCAUCUAUACGGUGAAACUGCGAAUGGCUCAUUAAAUCAGUUAUCGUUUAUUUGAUAGUACCUUGCUACAUGGAUACCUGUGGUAAUUCUAGAGCUAAUACAUGCUGAAAACCUCGACUUCGGAAGGGGUGUAUUUAUUAGAUAAAAAACCAAUGCCCUUCGGGGCUCCUUGGUGAUUCAUAAUAACUUAACGAAUCGCAUGGCCUUGCGCCGGCGAUGGUUCAUUCAAAUUUCUGCCCUAUCAACUUUCGAUGGUAGGAUAGUGGCCUACCAUGGUGGCAACGGGUAACGGGGAAUUAGGGUUCGAUUCCGGAGAGGGAGCCUGAGAAACGGCUACCACAUCCAAGGAAGGCAGCAGGCGCGCAAAUUACCCAAUCCCGACACGGGGAGGUAGUGACAAUAAAUACUGAUACAGGGCUCUUUUGGGUCUUGUAAUCGGAAUGAGUACAAUCUAAAUCCCUUAACGAGGAACAAUUGGAGGGCAAGUCUGGUGCCAGCAGCCGCGGUAAUUCCAGCUCCAAUAGCGUAUAUUAAAGUUGUUGCAGUUAAAAAGCUCGUAGUUGAACCUUGGGUCUGGCUGGCCGGUCCGCCUCACCGCGAGUACUGGUCCGGCUGGACCUUUCCUUCUGGGGAACCCCAUGGCCUUCACUGGCCGUGGCGGGGAACCAGGACUUUUACUGUGAAAAAAUUAGAGUGUUCAAAGCAGGCCUUUGCUCGAAUACAUUAGCAUGGAAUAAUAGAAUAGGACGUGCGGUUCUAUUUUGUUGGUUUCUAGGACCGCCGUAAUGAUUAAUAGGGAUAGUCGGGGGCGUCAGUAUUCAGCUGUCAGAGGUGAAAUUCUUGGAUUUGCUGAAGACUAACUACUGCGAAAGCAUUCGCCAAAGGAUGUUUUCAUUAAUCAGGGAACGAAAGUUAGGGAUCGAAGACGAUCAGAUACCGUCGUAGUCUUAACCAUAAACUAUGCCGACUAGGGAUCGGACGGUGUUCUAUGAUGACCCGUUCGGCACUUACGAGAAAUCAAGUUUUUGG
Molecule: ribosomal RNA, 1050 nt
Filed under: Paecilomyces sp.
Lineage: Eukaryota; Fungi; Ascomycota; Eurotiomycetes; Eurotiales; Thermoascaceae
Description: SSU rRNA
Rfam family: Eukaryotic small subunit ribosomal RNA
Source: RNAcentral